RNAcentral lists this ribosomal RNA (465 nucleotides) under Vreelandella stevensii. RNAcentral describes it as "partial 16S ribosomal RNA". It matches the Rfam family "Bacterial small subunit ribosomal RNA", at positions 338 to 795 of the family's 1533-position model. The record is from RNAcentral. Lineage: Bacteria; Pseudomonadati; Pseudomonadota; Gammaproteobacteria; Oceanospirillales; Halomonadaceae.
CCUACGGGAGGCUGCAGUGGGGAAUAUUGGACAAUGGGGGGAACCCUGAUCCAGCCAUGCCGCGUGUGUGAAGAAGGCCCUCGGGUUGUAAAGCACUUUCAGUGAGGAAGAACGCCUGGUGGUUAAUACCCAUCAGGAAAGACAUCACUCACAGAAGAAGCACCGGCUAACUCCGUGCCAGCAGCCGCGGUAAUACGGAGGGUGCGAGCGUUAAUCGGAAUUACUGGGCGUAAAGCGCGCGUAGGUGGCUUGAUAAGCCGGUUGUGAAAGCCCCGGGCUCAACCUGGGAACGGCAUCCGGAACUGUCAAGCUAGAGUGCAGGAGAGGAAGGUAGAAUUCCCUGUGUAGCGGUGAAAUGCGUAGAGAUCGGGAGGAAUACCAGUGGCGAAGGCGGCCUUCUGGACUGACACUGACACUGAGGUGCGAAAGCGUGGGUAGCAAACAGGAUUAGAUACCCCUGUAGUC